AUAUAUAAAGUGACAGAUUUCUGAACUGUUUUAUAGAACAUCAGUUUAGUGUGCAGUAAAUAUACAUAUAGCAACUCGUUGAAUUUAGGCUUGAAAAUAUGAAGCCUAUAAAAUUGAUAACCAUCUUUGUGACAAUUGCAGCGUUGCUGGCGACCGCAAUGGCAGAAGAAAAUCCUAUAUCCUCCAAUGCAAUCAAAUCGUUGCAAGGUUGAACAUGAAUAAAUACAAAACCGGUAUACCAAAAAAUCUAAAACAUGAGCAAAUGCAAAAUUGUUAUUCCAACAUGAACGUCCCAAUAAAAUAUUAAUUAUGCAAAUAAGAAA
This is a long non-coding RNA of Vollenhovia emeryi, 323 nucleotides long. RefSeq lists it as uncharacterized. The record is from RefSeq and is a predicted model, not a curated record. NCBI's taxonomy places the organism in Eukaryota, Metazoa, Arthropoda, Insecta, Hymenoptera, Formicidae. The transcript has 2 exons.